GAUGGAUGAGUGGAGCUAGGCGGAGCGAAAUUCAUCUGGCUAUUGCCAGGUUAGUUUCGUUCACCUUGAAGCUUCGAGCAUCAGUUCAUGGUUUCAGCACAGAUGAAGCCGCCUUCUGGGUUCCUGCUUCCAGAUGCUGCACCUGCAGUACUGCCCCAUCUGGGCUACUUCUUUCUGAGAGCUCGGGACCUGGAUUGUGCCCAGAAAUUUCAGAUUGGGAGAUGGAGGAUGAGGCUCAAAACAUUGAAAAAGAUGAUCAGUGUGCCCAAGACACAGCACUGACAGUAACAUCAAAUGACUCAAAAGAUGACCAGAAUCAAGCAGCACUGCCAUAGAUGCAUGUUCAACACGUCAACCAAGCCUGCCUAAAGAAUGACGCUCAGACGUAAGGUGUGAAGCUGAAUAGUGGACACAUCAACAUCAACACCAUGUACAAGUGAAGGGAACAAUUCUGAGGAAGAGUACAGACUAGGCUUUGUGGGAAAUGAGCAAUAUUGCUGCUUUGUAAUAAUUACAGCGAUGAAGUCCAUUUGCUCUACUGUACAGUGCUUUGCCUUCUAUUUCAUAUAGGAUAUACAGUAUAUAAUGAAUGCAUUGAUCUAAGUUACAGUACAUGCAGUUGUAAAUAUCGACAAAGCAUUAACCUCAUCUUUAUUAGUACUUUA
Molecule: long non-coding RNA, 665 nt
Organism: Alosa alosa (allis shad)
Lineage: Eukaryota; Metazoa; Chordata; Actinopteri; Clupeiformes; Clupeidae
Exons: 4
Source: RefSeq, a predicted model, not a curated record